GGGUUGUGAGGUUAAGCGACUAAGCGUACACGGUGGAUGCCCUGGCAGUCAGAGGCGAUGAAGGACGUGCUAAUCUGCGAUAAGCGUCGGUAAGGUGAUAUGAACCGUUAUAACCGGCGAUUUCCGAAUGGGGAAACCCAGUGUGUUUCGACACACUAUCAUUAACUGAAUCCAUAGGUUAAUGAGGCGAACCGGGGGAACUGAAACAUCUAAGUACCCCGAGGAAAAGAAAUCAACCGAGAUUCCCCCAGUAGCGGCGAGCGAACGGGGAGGAGCCCAGAGUCUGAAUCAGUGUGUGUGUUAGUGGAAGCGUCUGGAAAGGCGCGCGAUACAGGGUGACAGCCCCGUACACAAAAAUGCACAUACUGUGAGCUCGAUGAGUAGGGCGGGACACGUGGUAUCCUGUCUGAAUAUGGGGGGACCAUCCUCCAAGGCUAAAUACUCCUGACUGACCGAUAGUGAACCAGUACCGUGAGGGAAAGGCGAAAAGAACCCCGGCGAGGGGAGUGAAAAAGAACCUGAAACCGUGUACGUACAAGCAGUGGGAGCACGCUUAGGCGUGUGACUGCGUACCUUUUGUAUAAUGGGUCAGCGACUUAUAUUCUGUAGCAAGGUUAACCGAAUAGGGGAGCCGAAGGGAAACCGAGUCUUAACUGGGCGUUAAGUUGCAGGGUAUAGACCCGAAACCCGGUGAUCUAGCCAUGGGCAGGUUGAAGGUUGGGUAACACUAACUGGAGGACCGAACCGACUAAUGUUGAAAAAUUAGCGGAUGACUUGUGGCUGGGGGUGAAAGGCCAAUCAAACCGGGAGAUAGCUGGUUCUCCCCGAAAGCUAUUUAGGUAGCGCCUCGUGAAUUCAUCUCCGGGGGUAGAGCACUGUUUCGGCAAGGGGGUCAUCCCGACUUACCAACCCGAUGCAAACUGCGAAUACCGGAGAAUGUUAUCACGGGAGACACACGGCGGGUGCUAACGUCCGUCGUGAAGAGGGAAACAACCCAGACCGCCAGCUAAGGUCCCAAAGUCAUGGUUAAGUGGGAAACGAUGUGGGAAGGCCCAGACAGCCAGGAUGUUGGCUUAGAAGCAGCCAUCAUUUAAAGAAAGCGUAAUAGCUCACUGGUCGAGUCGGCCUGCGCGGAAGAUGUAACGGGGCUAAACCAUGCACCGAAGCUGCGGCAGCGACGCUUAUGCGUUGUUGGGUAGGGGAGCGUUCUGUAAGCCUGUGAAGGUGUGCUGUGAGGCAUGCUGGAGGUAUCAGAAGUGCGAAUGCUGACAUAAGUAACGAUAAAGCGGGUGAAAAGCCCGCUCGCCGGAAGACCAAGGGUUCCUGUCCAACGUUAAUCGGGGCAGGGUGAGUCGACCCCUAAGGCGAGGCCGAAAGGCGUAGUCGAUGGGAAACAGGUUAAUAUUCCUGUACUUGGUGUUACUGCGAAGGGGGGACGGAGAAGGCUAUGUUGGCCGGGCGACGGUUGUCCCGGUUUAAGCGUGUAGGCUGGUUUUCCAGGCAAAUCCGGAAAAUCAAGGCUGAGGCGUGAUGACGAGGCACUACGGUGCUGAAGCAACAAAUGCCCUGCUUCCAGGAAAAGCCUCUAAGCAUCAGGUAACAUCAAAUCGUACCCCAAACCGACACAGGUGGUCAGGUAGAGAAUACCAAGGCGCUUGAGAGAACUCGGGUGAAGGAACUAGGCAAAAUGGUGCCGUAACUUCGGGAGAAGGCACGCUGAUAUGUAGGUGAAGUCCCUUGCGGAUGGAGCUGAAAUCAGUCGAAGAUACCAGCUGGCUGCAACUGUUUAUUAAAAACACAGCACUGUGCAAACACGAAAGUGGACGUAUACGGUGUGACGCCUGCCCGGUGCCGGAAGGUUAAUUGAUGGGGUCAGCGCAAGCGAAGCUCUUGAUCGAAGCCCCGGUAAACGGCGGCCGUAACUAUAACGGUCCUAAGGUAGCGAAAUUCCUUGUCGGGUAAGUUCCGACCUGCACGAAUGGCGUAAUGAUGGCCAGGCUGUCUCCACCCGAGACUCAGUGAAAUUGAACUCGCUGUGAAGAUGCAGUGUACCCGCGGCAAGACGGAAAGACCCCGUGAACCUUUACUAUAGCUUGACACUGAACAUUGAGCCUUGAUGUGUAGGAUAGGUGGGAGGCUUUGAAGUGUGGACGCCAGUCUGCAUGGAGCCGACCUUGAAAUACCACCCUUUAAUGUUUGAUGUUCUAACGUGGACCCGUGAUCCGGGUUGCGGACAGUGUCUGGUGGGUAGUUUGACUGGGGCGGUCUCCUCCUAAAGAGUAACGGAGGAGCACGAAGGUUGGCUAAUCCUGGUCGGACAUCAGGAGGUUAGUGCAAUGGCAUAAGCCAGCUUGACUGCGAGCGUGACGGCGCGAGCAGGUGCGAAAGCAGGUCAUAGUGAUCCGGUGGUUCUGAAUGGAAGGGCCAUCGCUCAACGGAUAAAAGGUACUCCGGGGAUAACAGGCUGAUACCGCCCAAGAGUUCAUAUCGACGGCGGUGUUUGGCACCUCGAUGUCGGCUCAUCACAUCCUGGGGCUGAAGUAGGUCCCAAGGGUAUGGCUGUUCGCCAUUUAAAGUGGUACGCGAGCUGGGUUUAGAACGUCGUGAGACAGUUCGGUCCCUAUCUGCCGUGGGCGCUGGAGAACUGAGGGGGGCUGCUCCUAGUACGAGAGGACCGGAGUGGACGCAUCACUGGUGUUCGGGUUGUCAUGCCAAUGGCACUGCCCGGUAGCUAAAUGCGGAAGAGAUAAGUGCUGAAAGCAUCUAAGCACGAAACUUGCCCCGAGAUGAGUUCUCCCUGACCCUUUAAGGGUCCUGAAGGAACGUUGAAGACGACGACGUUGAUAGGCCGGGUGUGUAAGCGCAGCGAUGCGUUGAGCUAACCGGUACUAAUGAACCGUGAGGCUUAACCUUACAACGCCGAAG
Molecule: ribosomal RNA, 2925 nt
Filed under: Escherichia coli
Lineage: Bacteria; Pseudomonadati; Pseudomonadota; Gammaproteobacteria; Enterobacterales; Enterobacteriaceae
Description: 23S ribosomal RNA
Rfam family: Bacterial large subunit ribosomal RNA
Source: RNAcentral